CCGAAGUGGUGGAAUUGGUAGACACGCAAGGUUCAGGGUCUUGUGGGGGUUACCUCGUGGGGGUUCGAGUCCCCCCUUCGGCACCAU
This 87-nucleotide transfer RNA is filed under the name Candidatus Magnetobacterium bavaricum. RNAcentral's name for it is "tRNA-Leu". It matches the Rfam family "tRNA". From Rfam's summary of the family: Transfer RNA (tRNA) molecules are approximately 80 nucleotides in length. Their secondary structure includes four short double-helical elements and three loops (D, anti-codon, and T loops). Further hydrogen bonds mediate the characteristic L-shaped molecular structure. tRNAs have two regions of fundamental functional importance: the anti-codon, which is responsible for specific mRNA codon recognition, and the 3' end, to which the tRNAs corresponding amino acid is attached (by aminoacyl-tRNA synthetases). tRNAs cope with the degeneracy of the genetic code in two manners: having more than one tRNA (with a specific anti-codon) for a particular amino acid; and 'wobble' base-pairing, i.e. permitting non-standard base-pairing at the 3rd anti-codon position. Lineage: Bacteria; Pseudomonadati; Nitrospirota; Thermodesulfovibrionia; Thermodesulfovibrionales; Magnetobacteriaceae (SeqCode). The record is from RNAcentral.